UCCCAGAGAAGCUUGCUUCUCUUGAGUAGUCGGUCGGNCGGGGUGAGGGAACGCGGUAGGAAUCUGCCUGGUAGUGGGGGAUAACGUUCGGAAACGGACGCUAAUACCGCAUACGUCCUACGGGGAGAAAGCAGGGGACCUUCGGGCCUUGCGCUAUCAGAUGAGCCUAGGUCGGAUUAGCUAAUUGGUGAGGUAAUGGCUCACCAAGGCGACGAUCCGUAACUGGUCUGAGAGGAUGAUCAGUCACACUGGAACUGAGACACGGUCCAGACUCCUACGGGAGGCAGCAGUGGGGAAUAUUGGACAAUGGGCGAAAGCCUGAUCCAGCCAUGCCGAGUGUGUGAAGAAGGUCUUCGGAUUGUAAAGCACUUUAAGUUGGGAGGAAGGGCAUUAACCUAAUACGUUAGUGUUUUGACGUUACCGACAG
RNAcentral lists this ribosomal RNA (427 nucleotides) under uncultured Pseudomonas sp. RNAcentral describes it as "bacterial SSU rRNA". It matches the Rfam family "Bacterial small subunit ribosomal RNA", at positions 68 to 484 of the family's 1533-position model. The record is from RNAcentral. Lineage: Bacteria; Pseudomonadati; Pseudomonadota; Gammaproteobacteria; Pseudomonadales; Pseudomonadaceae.